CCCACUGGUCUGUACGCCAAACCCGUCCCCACAGUUUUUGUUUUUUGGGUCCUUUCCGUGUCUUUGUGUAGCGGAGGAACGGAGGGGAGGGAGGCGGCGGAUGCCGUGGAGGACGGUGCUGCCUGCCGUCGGUUAGGAACGGCGAGGGCUGGCGAAAGGUCAUGGAACGAGGCCAGCUGCCGGCGAGCAGGUCUGGUUAGAAAGAGCCUGGCUGCCAGGAACAGGAUGCAGCGGGAGGAAGGAGAGAGGGCGGUACAAAGAGGAGGUCGGCGGAGGCGUCCCGUCGGGCUCGUCACGAGCAAGCGCUCGCCGGGGAGGCCGGAAGCAGCCGUCGUUGCCAGGCGGUGAGCAUUUCCUCCUGAUUUCCCCCCUCAUGUCUGACUUCCUGUAGCUGCGCUCCCUUGUGCUCCCACGAUUCAGUCCCCGCUCCAUGGUUGUAUUAGUUCAGUCGAGUUCCCUUGCUAACCCCCCUCGUGGUUCACUGAUUCGUUGUGCUAGGUCGAUCAUCACCCAUGGAAAACGAGGUCCAGCCAAAAUGUAUCAGAUCGGCAGAUUCUUAGUGGACUGCUUUCCAUAUGUAACAUCUCUGCUACAUUAGAUUAGAAUUCUGUGGGGAAUGGGUAGUGGAUCAGUAUGCACAUACUUUCUUGUUUCCAAUUCUUUUCAGCACCAUGUUUUGCAGUUUUGGUCAGUUCAGCAUCAUUUUCUGGACUUCUGUCAGUCUGCACCAUGUUAUUUUUUCGACAGUGGGUGGUCAGUUCAGUAUUACGAAAUUUAGUUAGUCAUAUUCAUUCUUAUUUCUUCAGUCAUGUUCAUUGAUCCUCUCACUCUCAGUCCCCUUCUUAGUUUCCUUUUGCCUCUUAGCUUGUUGGCAUAUUCACUACUUCUUAUUUUAGUUUUCAGUCUUAUUCAGUCCCUUUUAUUUUAGUUUUCAGUUACAGUCAUAUUCUCUCUUACUUCUUUUAUUCUAUUCUUUGGAUAGAACAGAGGAUAUAUUUGAUAGAACAGAUAUGUUUCCUUCGCCAUGCUAUUCAGAUGGGGAACAAAAGACACACAACAAUGGUAGUCCAAUAUGAAGAAAGAACUUUGUGUUGUCUCAUUUUGCAUCAUUCAUCAUUUAUUACUCCCUCCUCCCCAUAAUAUAAGGCGUUUUUGCAAGCUAACAUAACUUGCAAAAACGUCUUACAUUGUGGGACGGAGGGAGUAUUUUUCAUUCGAUUAUUCAGUUGUUCUUCUCAGGGUCGCCUAAGGCAGAAAAUGGGUUCUGUAAGUCAGUUUAUCUUGUACCUUCAUUUCUUAAUCAUCUGAUUAUUCAUAGAGCAGCUGCCACUGUAAAAUAUAUCAUCGAGACGCUGUCACCCUCAUGUCAUGGAGAUGCAAAAUUUUUGCAACUGUCCUGACCGAGUUGGCUUGCUGCUACAGAUUUUCCUCCGUUUCUUCAUUCAGAUUUUGCUUUCCGUUCCUCAACAUUAUCAAUUUCUCCUAGUAGGUGUUCAUAUUUCAUUCUGCUCUUCGAUCCCUUCGAAACCAUGUGGAGCCGUCUCCUCAUGAACAUGUUGUACCUCAGGGCAGAGUGCUCUGGCCUUAUCAUGCUUACACCAUCUUUGUUUUUACGUUACAUUUUUGUCCAUUCAUCAGUCAUCAAUAUUUCUUAAUUUCAGCCAGUACUCAUUAUCCAGUAAAAUGGAGCUCAUUUAAUGCUCAUUCAUUUUCUGUUAUCCAGUAAAAUCUAGUUUUCCUUAUAUUUUAGAUUGUUAGUAGGACAACCACCUUUUUUUGGUUACCAUUUUUAAGUCCUCAGGUUUGAGUCUUGAGAACCAUGGCUAGUCCAAUCUAGUUAAAAACCAGGUUUCUCCUACCUAUAUAAUGUGGCUAUACUGAAUCUAUAUGUGUGCGCAUUCACGCACAUGUGGUUUGACGCCACAAAAACCUAAAUCUAUUUUCUACCCUGACCCCCCAUAUGCAUCUAUGUGUCACGGUUUCAGCUUUUUGGGAAGGCGAUCUCCGAGUUCCUUAGUCUAUUUAAGUGUUCAUUUCUCCCAUAGUUUCUUGGGAUGGCUAGCAUUUUUUUAGUAAUGCGGUGUUUUUUUUUAUGAGAAUUUGUUCAGCUAUGCUGUAUCACAUGUAUGAGUUUUUGACUAAACAGAGCAGUUUAUUUUCUUCUUAACUUGGAACAUUUUUUCAGAUCCUUUGUAUGAGGCUAACCUUGACAUAAUAAACAGAGCAGUUUAUUUUUCUUCUUAACUUGGAACAUUUUUUCAGAUCCUUUGUAUGAGGCUAACCUUGACAUAAUAAACAGAGCAACGGUUUAUCAUCCGUGUAGGAGUUUUUUUCCCCAGUGUUCAGAUCAGCUGGCACAUAAGAAGAAAGAGAGGGGGCUCGGGUGAGGUAUCUGGGCACUAGCUGAAAUUGGAGCUCAUGAUGAAGCUGAUGACGUGUAUACGGAGAUUGAUGAGAAGCUCAAGCACGGAAGGUGCAUGAUCGGCCGUACCCAACAAUGACGCAUGUCGUCAUAGGACUGGACAAAAAAAAUAGCCUAAUCGGAAAUCAGACGACUGGAGGUUCAACAGUCCCUUUGGAAAAUGGGCCAGCAAGGUGUCACACCUGGUGCCUGAAAAAAAAACUCGUACAGGAAAAAAAACUCGUAUACGACAUGUGAACAGUGCGACUAAUUCGUAGCACAGGAUGGAGGCUGGAGUUAGAAACAAUUCCUUAUUUAACGCUAUCUUAAAUUUUAUUUCCUUAUUUAACAUUUAAAAAC
Molecule: long non-coding RNA, 2761 nt
Organism: Triticum aestivum (bread wheat)
Lineage: Eukaryota; Viridiplantae; Streptophyta; Magnoliopsida; Poales; Poaceae
Exons: 3
Source: RefSeq, a predicted model, not a curated record